Molecule: long non-coding RNA, 302 nt
Filed under: Ananas comosus (pineapple)
Lineage: Eukaryota; Viridiplantae; Streptophyta; Magnoliopsida; Poales; Bromeliaceae
Description: long non-coding RNA (ACOM_LNC037691)
Source: RNAcentral
UAAAUUAAUUCUUUUUGAUGUAUAAAUCUUUUUGUUGGAAGGAAAGGAGUAUUGCAGCGAAUUAAACUAAAAUAUUUUGUUAACUAUUUUUGUACUAAAUUUCGGUGAUGGAUUAUUUUCCACAUAUUUACAACAGUCAAUAUAUAGGCAUAAACCAAAAAUCCUAAUAGCAAUAAUUAAAUAAGAUUUAAAUUUAUCUCUUAUAUCUAACCAACAAAAUAUUAAGAUAUAAAUCUGACAGAAAUAAAUUUUAAACUUAUCAAAAAUAUUAGAUUACUUAUCAACACUUUUGACUCAGUCUU